This 435-nucleotide ribosomal RNA is filed under the name uncultured bacterium. Its description in RNAcentral is "bacterial SSU rRNA". It matches the Rfam family "Bacterial small subunit ribosomal RNA", at positions 340 to 789 of the family's 1533-position model. The record is from RNAcentral.
UACGGGAGGCAGCAGUGGGGAAUAUUGGACAAUGGGCGAAAGCCUGAUCCAGCCAUGCCGCAUGAGUGAAGAAGGCCUUCGGGUUGUAAAGCUCUUUUAGCGAGAAAGAUAAUGACGGUACUCACAGAAGAAGUCCUGGCUAACUCCGUGCCAGCAGCCGCGGUAAUACGGAGAGGGCUAGCGUUAUUCGGAAUUAUUGGGCGUAAAGAGCGCGUAGGCUGAUUAGUAAGUUAAAAGUGAAAUCCCAAAGCUUAACUUUGGAAUUGCUUUUUAAAACUGCUAGUCUAGAGAUUGAAAGAGGAUAGAGGAAUUCCUAGUGUAGAGGUGAAAUUCGUAAAUAUUAGGAGGAACACCAGUGGCGAAGGCGUCUAUCUGGUUCAAAUCUGACGCUGAGGCGCGAAGGGCGUGGGGAGCAAACAGGGAUUAGAUACCCGU